Lycium barbarum (goji berry) is the source of this 978-nucleotide long non-coding RNA. RefSeq lists it as uncharacterized. The transcript is spliced from 4 exons. The record is from RefSeq and is a predicted model, not a curated record. Lineage: Eukaryota; Viridiplantae; Streptophyta; Magnoliopsida; Solanales; Solanaceae.
CUGUUACUUCUCGGUUAAGUACACAAUGAUACGAUAGUAUCUUUUUCUUUCUGCAACUUAUUUGGUCAAGUUGGCUGGUAUGAAUGACAGUGUCCAGAGAGUACCCAUGAAGAGAACUAGAGAAAACCUUGCACACAACCGGUACUAUUUGUUGUCAAUACUAAUAUUCAUAUUUUUUAUUUAUUCUGUAGGGUAAAACAAAUGAAGGGGUAGAACCGGACAGAAUUGAGUUCUACAAAGAUACUCAUUACUCAAGUGAAAAAGGCUGGUCAUCUCAAGAAGCUAAAGAUAACUAUAACGACAUGAAUGAUUUGAAAGCUCUAUAUAUAUAGCGAGGGAGAUUCGACUAUGACAAUUGAUGAAAUUGUGGAUGUUGUACUUGGUAAAAAGUCGGGAUAUUUAAAAGGUCUCGGUUAUGGUCCGAAACCUAAUACUUCUCGAGCAACGCAAAGGAGAACGGCAGAGUUAGAAGACUCUCUUAGAAAGGCGAAAGAGGAAGCUGCCAAUGCCCAAGAUGAUUUACAGAAACGAUUAAAUGCAGCUGAAGUUGUGGUAGAAAAUCAGCAAACUUAGAUACAAGACCAGCAGUCGCAGAUACAAUCAUUAAAUUCACAACUGAAUACUCUAUUGGCAUGCCAAGAUGAUAUUUCAAAACAACUACAACGUUUUAUGAGCUCAUCUCGAUCAAGUGAUCACUGAAUCCUAUCAAGUUAUCCAUUAAGGUUGUGGAAGGUGGAAAUCAAGAAAAGUUCCUAGAGAAGUGACUACAAUGGUAUUUUGAGAAGCAACCUCCAUUUUUUUCUUUGUUUUGUUGAUGUUUAGUAUGUUUUACAGUUACACUUUCAAGUUGGAUAACAUUACUUAAUAUUAGUUUUUAGGAGUAUUAGUUUUUCUUUUAGGAGUAUGUCAUGAGAUAGCAUCUCAAUGUCAUUUUGGUUGUUCUUAAUUACUAUGUGACAGUGUUUAAUUUUCUUAUUA